AUCAUUCCAAUUUUGGCCCAUUAAGCCCAAAAAUAUCGAGGGCACAGAAAUCAUGCACUUUGCAGUCCAAACAUUGCAGCUUACCAAAAACAUUAAUCGAUUUACCUCACGAGCAUUCGCACACUCGCAAAUCUACAAAAUACCAGUUUUCAGCAUUUCGGCUUUUUCGCUUUUGCCGAUCUAGACUAAGAAAGAGGGUGUUAGUUACACACCUAUUUGCGACGAUAUGCUGACAAGAUCCACACACGAACUGCCUACAAUUGGAUUACUAACACGUUAAUCUAACUAUUCAAAUACAAACUACGUAUUAACCCCUUACAAUAUUUGGCCAACCACACCUACAGGUCAUAGUAAGCUUAUAAGAAAACAAUAAGCAACUCAUUAACAAAUUUUUGUCAAUGUUUACCACAUAAUCAUAAUUUCACUGCAAGUUGUCUUCCUGAGCAACAGUCACUAAAUCAUUUAUAACUGGAGCUACGAAACUCCAAAUCAAGUUCCGUUAAUUUUCCUUGAAAAUAGACUCAUAUAUCUUCUAUCCAUAAAAUUUUCAGAAUUUUUGGUUUAGCCAAUCAAUACCAGAUUUUUCACAAAGUUUCCCAUGUUUCACUGUUUGACUAAUCUGACCACUCUUCAUUACGAAUCAAAUUUCUCAUUGUACAGAAUUCAAAAUAUGUUCUAGUUUAUUUCAUUAGAAACUAGACUUAAUAAGAUUUAAUUACAUAAUUUAUUCAGCUUCUAAUUCAUCUCCCACAAUUUAUGGUGAUUUUCCAAAGUCACGUUACUGCUUCUGUCCCAAGCAGAUUUAUUACCAAAUCACUCUUUCACACAUACCUUGCAUGCAUGUUAUUUAAACAUGUAUAUCACCAAUCAAUCAUCACAUAUCUAUGAUUUUACUUAAGUAUAAUCUCCAUUUCAUCAUUUUAAAGCACAACAUGUUAGCUGAUUUUUCCCUUUAACAUCUAAGGCACAUGCAUGCUCAUUUGUUUGGCUCAACUUCACCUAUCUUCCAUUUUUCAUCAAAAGAACAUGAAACAACAACCAUUUCCUUCAUUUUAAUUCAUGACUAAAUGCUCACAACACAACUAAAAAUCAAAAUAUACUUCAAGAGUUAAGGUAGAAUCAAGAAGAACUCAUGAACCUCAAAAUAAAAGCAAGAUACCAAGAACUUACCUUCAAUUUUCCUCCUCCUAAUGACCGAAUACUCAAGAGCUUUC
This 1214-nucleotide long non-coding RNA is filed under the name Gossypium barbadense (sea-island cotton). RNAcentral describes it as "long non-coding RNA (GBAR_LNC001285)". The record is from RNAcentral. Lineage: Eukaryota; Viridiplantae; Streptophyta; Magnoliopsida; Malvales; Malvaceae.